CAGCCGCCACGGUAAUACAGAGGAUGCAAGCGUUAUCCGGAAUGAUUGGGCGUAAAGCGUCUGUAGGUGGCUUUUCAAGUCCGCCGUCAAAUCCCCGGGCUCAACCCUGGACAGGCAGUGGAAACUACCAAGCUGGAGUACGGUAGGGGCAGAGGGAAUCCCACGUGUAGCGGUGAAAUGCGUAGAGAUGUGGAGGAACACCAGUGGCGAAGGCGACUCUCUGGUCUGUAACUGACACUGAGGAGCGAAAGCGUGGGGAGCGAACAGGAUUAGAUACCCCCGUAGUCCCUGUCUCUUAUAA
Molecule: ribosomal RNA, 301 nt
Filed under: uncultured bacterium
Lineage: Bacteria
Description: partial 16S ribosomal RNA
Rfam family: Bacterial small subunit ribosomal RNA
Source: RNAcentral